CAUGUUUUGUGCAUUCAUAUAUGUAAUAAAAUAAUAAUUUCAGUUAAUAAUAAUUUUUAAAACUUAUUAAAAAAAAUUAUGAUUCAGUUAAGGACCAGCCAGAAGGAGUGUUCUAAUUCAUGCUGGAAUUUCUCGACUUCAUUGAUGUUGCUGAUUUGCCAUUGCAUGAGCCAAGAUUUAAGAACUCAAAUCAUCAUACUGCUGUACAGCUUGGAUGUCUCAGAAGGACUCUGCAAUGGAAAGAUAAUUCUGAUUUAGUUCUGCAACAUCAUUAUCGAGACAAAGAUCAUCACUGGAGAAUAAUCUGGCCAAGAAGUACACAUUUCAUGAAUCGUUCUUGACUCAAGCAAAGGUCAACUUCAAUAUACAAUGCAAUGACAUCAAUUUCCUGUAAGAUCAGCAUUUGCUACCAUCAUGUACAAAGCCUCUCCUUUACUGAGCAAAGCUUUGUUUUCACACUAGUUUUAAAAAAGUCAGAAAAAUUUUUUUCUCUAAAACCUUGGAUAAUUG
RNAcentral lists this long non-coding RNA (510 nucleotides) under Androctonus crassicauda. Lineage: Eukaryota; Metazoa; Arthropoda; Arachnida; Scorpiones; Buthidae. The record is from RNAcentral.